This 329-nucleotide unclassified non-coding RNA is filed under the name soil metagenome. RNAcentral describes it as "partial contains 5.8S ribosomal RNA, internal transcribed spacer 2, and large subunit ribosomal RNA". The stretch from base 1 to 120 matches the Rfam family "5.8S ribosomal RNA", at positions 35 to 154 of the family's 154-position model. The record is from RNAcentral.
GAUGAAGAACGCAGCGAAAUGCGAUAAGUAAUGUGAAUUGCAGAAUUCAGUGAAUCAUCGAAUCUUUGAACGCACAUUGCGCCCCCUGGUAUUCCGGGGGGCAUGCCUGUCCGAGCGUCAUUACAACCCUCAAGCUCAGCUUGGUGUUGGGCCCCGCCGCCCCGGCGGGCCCUAAAGUCAGUGGUGGUGCCGUCCGGCUCCGAGCGUAGUAAUUCUUCUCGCUCUGGAGGUCCGGUCGUGUGCUCGCCAGCAACCCCCAAUUUUUUUCAGGUUGACCUCGGAUCAGGUAGGGAUACCCGCUGAACUUAAGCAUAUCAAUAAGCGGAGGA